UACGAAGGGGGCUAGCGUUGUUCGGAAUUACUGGGCGUAAAGCGCACGUAGGCGGGCUCGUAAGUAGGAGGUGAAAUCCCAAGGCUCAACCUUGGAAUUGCCUUCUAGACUGCAAGUCUGGAGGUCAGGAGAGGCGAGUGGAAUACCGAGUGUAGAGGUGAAAUUCGUAGAUAUUCGGUGGAACACCAGUGGCGAAGGCGACUCGCUGGACUGAUACUGACGCUGAGGUGCGAAAGCGUGGGGAGCAAACAGG
This 253-nucleotide ribosomal RNA is filed under the name uncultured bacterium. RNAcentral's name for it is "partial 16S ribosomal RNA". It matches the Rfam family "Bacterial small subunit ribosomal RNA", at positions 524 to 776 of the family's 1533-position model. The record is from RNAcentral.